UACGAAGGGGGCUAGCGUUGUUCGGAAUUACUGGGCGUAAAGCGUGCGCAGGCGGUUCGUUGUGUCGGUGGUGAAAUCCCCGGGCUUAACCUGGGAAUGGCCAUGGAAACUGGCGAACUGGAGUGUGGCAGAGGGGGGUGGAAUUCCGCGUGUAGCAGUGAAAUGCGUAGAGAUGCGGAGGAACACCGAUGGCGAAGGCAGCCCCCUGGGCUAGCACUGACGCUCAGGCACGAAAGCGUGGGGAGCAAACAGG
This 253-nucleotide ribosomal RNA is filed under the name uncultured bacterium. RNAcentral describes it as "partial 16S ribosomal RNA". It matches the Rfam family "Bacterial small subunit ribosomal RNA", at positions 524 to 776 of the family's 1533-position model. The record is from RNAcentral.